Acanthosepion pharaonis is the source of this 110-nucleotide non-coding RNA. NCBI's taxonomy places the organism in Eukaryota, Metazoa, Mollusca, Cephalopoda, Sepiida, Sepiidae. The record is from the annotation of a GenBank genome assembly.
AGCCACAUCACGUUGAAAAACAGGUUCCCAUACGAUCACAAAAGUUAAGCAACAUUGUGCCUGGUCAGUACCUAGAUGGGUGACGACUUGGAAAUACCAGGUGCUGUAAG